RNAcentral lists this ribosomal RNA (433 nucleotides) under uncultured bacterium. RNAcentral's name for it is "bacterial SSU rRNA". It matches the Rfam family "Bacterial small subunit ribosomal RNA", at positions 29 to 507 of the family's 1533-position model. The record is from RNAcentral.
AACGAACGCUGGCGGCAGGCCUAACACAUGCAAGUCGAGCGAACCCUUCGGGGUUAGCGGCGGACGGGUUAGUAACGCGUGGGAAUAUACCCUUUGGUACGGAAUAGCCUCGGGAAACUGAGAGUAAUACCGUAUGUGCCCUUCGGGGGAAAGAUUUAUCGCCAAAGGAUUAGCCCGCGUUGGAUUAGAUAGUUGGUGGGGUAAUGGCCUACCAAGUCUACGAUCCAUAGCUGGUUUGAGAGGAUGAUCAGCAACACUGGGACUGAGACACGGCCCAGACUCCUACGGGAGGCAGCAGUGGGGAAUCUUAGACAAUGGGCGCAAGCCUGAUCUAGCCAUGCCGCGUGGACGAUGAAGGCCUUAGGGUUGUAAAGUCCUUUCAGAUGGGAAGAUAAUGACGGUACCAUCAGAAGAAGCCCCGGCUAACUCCGCG